CACGUUUGAGGUCUUUUGACCGCGUUUAUUAGUUUGAAACCCGCCUUGGCUUUCGGUGAUUCAUAAUAAACUGGCGAAUCGCAUUUAGCGAUGGACCAUUCAAGUUUCUGACCCAUCAGCUUGACGGUAGGGUAUUGGCCUACCGAGGCAGCAACGGGUAACGGGGAAUUAGGGUUCGAUUCCGGAGAGGGAGCCUGAGAGACGGCUACCACAUCUAAGGAAGGCAGCAGGCGUGCAAAUUACCCAAUCCUGACACAGGGAGGUAGUGACAAGAAAUAACAAUACAGGGCUAAUGUCUUGUAAUUGGAAUGAUGGUGACCCAAACCCUCACCAGAGUAGCAAUUGGAGGGCAAGUCUGGUGCCAGCAGCCGCGGUAAUUCCAGCUCCAAUAGCGUAUAUUAAACUUGUUGCAGUUAAAAAGCUCGUAGUUGAAUUUUAGCGUGUUCGAGUUUGCCAUUCGUUUGGCUUUUUCGAGUUCGCUUUUGGGUUUUCCCUUUUUACUUUGAGAAAAUUAGAGUGUUUCAAGCAGACUUUUGUCUUGAAUACUUCAGCAUGGAAUAAUAGAGUAGGACUUUGGUUCUAUUUUGUUGGUUAUUGAACCUUAGUAAUGGUUAAUAGGAACGGUUGGGGGCAUUCGUAUUUAACUGUCAGAGGUGAAAUUCUUAGAUUUGUUAAAGACGAACUACUGCGAAAGCAUUUGCCAAGGACGUUUCCAUUAAUCAAGAACGAAAGUUAGGGGAUCGAAGA
This 747-nucleotide ribosomal RNA is filed under the name Babesia vogeli. Its description in RNAcentral is "SSU rRNA". It matches the Rfam family "Eukaryotic small subunit ribosomal RNA", at positions 170 to 1004 of the family's 1831-position model. Lineage: Eukaryota; Apicomplexa; Aconoidasida; Piroplasmida; Babesiidae. The record is from RNAcentral.